GGUGCUAACGUCCGUCGUGAAGAGGGAAACAACCCAGACCGCCAGCUAAGGUCCCAAAGUCAUGGUUAAGUGGGAAACGAUGUGGGAAGGCCCAGACAGCCAGGAUGUUGGCUUAGAAGCAGCCAUCAUUUAAAGAAAGCGUAAUAGCUCACUGGUCGAGUCGGCCUGCGCGGAAGAUGUAACGGGGCUAAACCAUGCACCGAAGCUGCGGCAGCGACACUGUGUGUUGUUGGGUAGGGGAGCGUUCUGUAAGCCUGUGAAGGUGUGUCGUGAGGCAUGCUGGAGGUAUCAGAAGUGCGAAUGCUGACAUAAGUAACGAUAAAGCGGGUGAAAAGCCCGCUCGCCGGAAGACCAAGGGUUCCUGUCCAACGUUAAUCGGGGCAGGGUGAGUCGACCCCUAAGGCGAGGCCGAAAGGCGUAGUCGAUGGGAAACGGGUUAAUAUUCCCGUACUUGGUGUUACUGCGAAGGGGGGACGGAGAAGGCUAUGUUGGCCGGGCGACGGUUGUCCCGGUUUAAGCGUGUAGGUGUGUGUUCCAGGUAAAUCCGGUUCACUUUAACACUGAGGCGUGACGACGAGGCACUAUGGUGCUGAAGCAACAAAUGCCCUGCUUCCAGGAAAAGCCUCUAAGCAUCAGGUAACAUCAAAUCGUACCCCAAACCGACACAGGUGGUCAGGUAGAGAAUACCAAGGCGCUUGAGAGAACUCGGGUGAAGGAACUAGGCAAAAUGGUGCCGUAACUUCGGGAGAAGGCACGCUGACACGUAGGUGAAGUGAUUUACUCAUGGAGCUGAAGUCAGUCGAAGAUACCAGCUGGCUGCAACUGUUUAUUAAAAACACAGCACUGUGCAAACACGAAAGUGGACGUAUACGGUGUGACGCCUGCCCGGUGCCGGAAGGUUAAUUGAUGGGGUCAGCGCAAGCGAAGCUCCUGAUCGAAGCCCCGGUAAACGGCGGCCGUAACUAUAACGGUCCUAAGGUAGCGAAAUUCCUUGUCGGGUAAGUUCCGACCUGCACGAAUGGCGUAAUGAUGGCCAGGCUGUCUCCACCCGAGACUCAGUGAAAUUGAACUCGCUGUGAAGAUGCAGUGUACCCGCGGCAAGACGGAAAGACCCCGUGAACCUUUACUAUAGCUUGACACUGAACAUUGAGCCUUGAUGUGUAG
Molecule: ribosomal RNA, 1164 nt
Filed under: Salmonella enterica subsp. enterica serovar Stanley
Lineage: Bacteria; Pseudomonadati; Pseudomonadota; Gammaproteobacteria; Enterobacterales; Enterobacteriaceae
Description: partial 23S ribosomal RNA
Rfam family: Bacterial large subunit ribosomal RNA
Source: RNAcentral